GGGACUGUCAGGUUUCUACAUGUUGAUAUCUUUCCUGAAGGAUAAGAAAAAAUAAUUCAAGUGUAACACACUUAAUUAGAAUUACAAUAAAUGCAAAAAGCCAAAUUAUUCCUUUUUCUCAAAGACUAGUAAUAGCUUAAAUUAUUUGUUCAAAGAUUGUUAGUAUUUACUAUAUUUUUUGAGUAUCAACUGUUGCACUUAUACAAUUUAGUUGAUGAUCUUACGAAUAUGUUGCUCUUGACACAGUAGAAAGUUAAAUAUAUUGUUUCAAGUAAAGUUAAGUAUGAAAGUAUGCUAUAUGUUUUUCUGUAUCUAUGAAAUAGAUACCUUCUGGUUAUUUCUAUUAACAUGGACGUGGGUUCAAAUCCCACCAGUUCCA
RNAcentral lists this non-coding RNA (379 nucleotides) under Liagoropsis maxima. Lineage: Eukaryota; Rhodophyta; Florideophyceae; Nemaliales; Liagoraceae. The record is from RNAcentral.